CGCGGAGUGUGUGCAGGUGCUCCAGGCACCCAGGGCAGGGCGGCGAGGGACCUGCCUCUGCGAGGACCGAGGGAGCCCGGGCACCAUGCGCGCUCCCCGCGGCCCGCGGGGGCCCGCGGCGCAGCCCCAGCCUCUGCUGCUCCUGUGCCUGCUGGCGGCGGGGCGCCCCGGCUCCGCGGAUGACCGUCCCCCAGCUUCACCUUUUAUAAGUCUAUCUGCUCGAGAAGAAAUUCUGGCCAGAUACUCCAACCUUUCCUUGGAGAGUCACAACCUAUCCCUGACUGAAUAUUCCAAUGUUGCAGUAGAAAAAAAUAUCAUUUUGCAAAGACCUUCUAAUGUAGAACUCACGUGCCAGUUCACAACAUCUGGGAAUCUGAAUUCAGUAAAUGCGACUUGGAGAAAAGAUGAUGAACUUAUUGAGAAUGGCUAUCUCAUCAAUGCAACGGGAAAGAUUCUGUAUACCCAAUACAUGUUCACCAUCAUUGAUAGCAAGCAAAUGGGAAAUUAUUCUUGUUUCUUCCACGAGGAAAAGGAACAAAGGGGCACAUUUAAUUUCAAAGUCCCAGAACUUCAUGGAAAAAACAAACCAGUGAUCACUUAUGUGGGGGAUUCAACUGUAUUGAUAUGUAAAUGCCAAGAGUGUGCUCCUUUAAAUUGGACCUGGUACCAUAUGAAUGGGAGUGAGCAGGUUCCUCUUGAUGUUCAAAUGAGCGAUAAGUAUGUGAUCAGUGGACCAAAUGCUAAUGAAACAAGGCUCAAGAUAAUGCAUCUUUCAGAGGAAGAUCAGGGAGCUUACUGGUGCCGUGCAAUAUUCCAAUUAGGCGAGAGUGAAGACCACAUUGACCUUGCCGUGCUGAGUUAUUUGGUGCCCCUCAAACCAUUUCUUGCCAUAGCUGCUGAGGUUGUUCUUUUAGUGGCUAUUAUUCUGCUUUGUGAAAUGUACACCCAAAAGAAAAAGAACCGCCCAGAUGAUGGGAAAGAGUUUGAACAAAUUGAGCAGCUGAAAUCAGACGAUAGCAAUGGUAUAGAAAAUAAUGUCCCCAGGUACAGAAAAAACGUAAGUUACUUCUAAAUGCUAUUCCAAAUAAAAGGUAAAAUUCAAUAUACAUAGGCUGUCUAUUAACCCAGCUACUUAAAAAAAAAAAAGUUUCAUUAAAGAUCUAGUCAAUCACUAUGUGCUUGGUUCUGCUUGUUUACGAUAUUAUGGGAGAAAAUAGACAGUUAUACAAAAAUAAAUGACAUCUUUUUCCCCACCAGAGAACCAAUAUAAAAGUAAACCUAUUGUACUGCCUACAUCUAUGCUUUUUCUUUUGUCACCAUGGGCUAGUUUCUUUUACAACUUUUCAUGUAGUCUUAUUUUUUUCCCCUUCUCAAUUUUUCUGGAUUGUCCUAUUUUAUCCUGACAUAUUCCAUCUUUUUUUGGUUACUAUUAUUUUCUUUACUGAUUAGAAUAAAAAUUUUCAUAGUUUGUCAGUAUUUUUCUCCUGAGUAGGUAAAAUAGGAACUGUUGGAUUUAGCAGUAGUUUGGAUCACCCCUUCCUAGAAAGUUUUGCUUUGCUAAGUGAUGAUAAGCCAUUACAGAGUAACAGGGGCAUGCUAAUUAAGUUUCAUUAUGUUUUUAUUUAUUUAACUCAGGAAUCUGUGGGCCAAUGAAUGAGAAGCCUCAUGCCAAGACUCAUGGGAAGAUGUACAAAGAGUUUGUGCUUAUGCUUCCUGU
Molecule: RNA transcript, 1717 nt
Organism: Pipistrellus kuhlii (Kuhl's pipistrelle)
Lineage: Eukaryota; Metazoa; Chordata; Mammalia; Chiroptera; Vespertilionidae
Gene: EMB
Gene name: embigin
Exons: 9
Source: RefSeq, a predicted model, not a curated record